CACUUGUCCUUUAAAUGGGGACCUGUAUGAAUGGCACGACGAGGGCUUAACUGUCUCCUUUUUCAAGUCAAUGAAAUUGAUCUUCCCGUGCAGAAGCGGGAAUAAUAACAUAAGACGAGAAGACCCUAUGGAGCUUUAGACAUAAAACAGACCAUGUUAAACAACCUUGAAAAUAAGAACGAACUAAAUGGCCCCUGUUUAAAUGUUUUUGGUUGGGGCGACCGCGGGGCAACAAAAAACCCCCAUGUGGAAUGAAAACACUUUUUAAAACUAAGAGCAACUGCUCUAAGUAACAGAAAAUCUGACCAAACAGAUCCGGCCUAGCCGAUCAACGAACCGAGUUACCCUAGGGAUAACAGCGCAAUCCUCUUCUAGAGUCCAUAUCGACAAGAGGGUUUACGACCUCGAUGUUGGAUCAGGACAUCCUAAUGGUGCAGCCGCUAUUAAGGGUUCGUUUGUUCAACGAUUAAAGUCCUACGUGAUCUGA
Molecule: ribosomal RNA, 487 nt
Filed under: Sphoeroides lobatus
Lineage: Eukaryota; Metazoa; Chordata; Actinopteri; Tetraodontiformes; Tetraodontidae
Description: partial 16S ribosomal RNA
Rfam family: Bacterial large subunit ribosomal RNA
Source: RNAcentral